GAUUGAACGCUGGCGGCAGGCCUAACACAUGCAAGUCGRGCGGUAGCACAAGGGAGCUUGCUCCCCGGGUGACGAGCGGCGGACGGGUGAGUAAUGUCUGGGAAACUGCCUGAUGGAGGGGGAUAACUACUGGAAACGGUAGCUAAUACCGCAUAACGUCUACGGACCAAAGCGGGGGACUUUCGGGCCUCGCGCCAUCAGAUGUGCCCAGAUGGGAUUAGCUAGUAGGUGGGGUAAUGGCUCACCUAGGCGACGAUCCCUAGCUGGUCUGAGAGGAUGACCAGCCACACUGGAACUGAGACACGGUCCAGACUCCUACGGGAGGCAGCAGUGGGGAAUAUUGCACAAUGGGCGCAAGCCUGAUGCAGCCAUGCCGCGUGUGUGAAGAAGGCCUUCGGGUUGUAAAGCACUUUCAGCGAGGAGGAAGGGUMCAGGUUUAAUACACCUGUUCAUUGACGUUACUCGCAGAAGAAGCACCGGCUAACUCC
Molecule: ribosomal RNA, 488 nt
Filed under: Enterobacteriaceae bacterium 'ARUP UnID 593'
Lineage: Bacteria; Pseudomonadati; Pseudomonadota; Gammaproteobacteria; Enterobacterales; Enterobacteriaceae
Also listed under: 1 other name
Description: bacterial SSU rRNA
Rfam family: Bacterial small subunit ribosomal RNA
Source: RNAcentral